GGAUAACCGCUGAAAGCAUCUAAGCGGGAAGCCUCCCUUAAGAUAAGAUCUCACUGGGACAUAAGUCCCCUGAAGAGCCGUUCGAGACUAGGACGUUGAUAGGUUGGGUGUGUAAGUGCUGUGAGGCAUUGAGCUAACCAAUACUAAUUGCUCGUGAGGCUUGACCAUAUAACACCAAAGUGGUUU
Molecule: ribosomal RNA, 186 nt
Filed under: Marinomonas sp. UCMA 3892
Lineage: Bacteria; Pseudomonadati; Pseudomonadota; Gammaproteobacteria; Oceanospirillales; Oceanospirillaceae
Description: partial 23S ribosomal RNA
Rfam family: Bacterial large subunit ribosomal RNA
Source: RNAcentral